GGGAAUGUGGCUUAGUGGUAGAGCGCUUGCCUAGCAUGCAUGAAGCCCUGGGUUCGACUCAUCACUACCA
Dipodomys ordii (Ord's kangaroo rat) is the source of this 70-nucleotide non-coding RNA. NCBI's taxonomy places the organism in Eukaryota, Metazoa, Chordata, Mammalia, Rodentia, Heteromyidae. The record is from Rfam.